AGUUUGUAUUGUAUCUUUUU
Molecule: microRNA, 20 nt
Filed under: Corchorus capsularis
Lineage: Eukaryota; Viridiplantae; Streptophyta; Magnoliopsida; Malvales; Malvaceae
Description: sRNA CCACVL1_14805
Source: RNAcentral